GCUUCCCCCAGGUGCCAGCUGUGCCUGAAGACAGCCUGUCCUCUCCGGUGUCUCCUGUUCUCAGCUCCUUAGUCCCCUCCCCGACCUCACCUCACAGUUGACUCCUGGGCUGACUCCUCCCCUGGCAGGGAAAGAAGAGCCGGGCUCGCCCACACCCGACAGGUGCAGCAGCUGCUUGAGGUCACAGUUGCUGAGAAGGGAAGCCGAGGCCAGUGGCGGCUCCAGCCAGGGAUGGUGCAGCCCGCUGAGGGGUUGGGGUUGCCCAAUCGCCCGCCCCGCUCCACCUGUCCCCACUCCUCCCACCCAGCCUGGCCACCAGCCCAGACACCUUCCUCACAUGGCCUGAAGUCCCCUGCUGACCUGUGGCACCAUGUGGCCCAGCAGGGUGGCCGGGCCGGCCGGGCUCGUGGGGCAGGGGACGCUGCUCCCCACCUGCCCUGGGGUGGUGGGUGCCACUGGGGAGGCCUCUCCCUAGGGGCAUCUCCCAGGUGGGCAGACCAGAAACUUACCCCGAGUUCUGUGACCCACUCUGGGGAGUGGGGCAUCUCAUCUCCUCUCAGCCACUUCUGAAAGCUGCGACAUGGCAGAGUGGGCAGGGCUGCCCUCUGAGCUGACACCCUUCCCCUUCUCCCCAUCUUGUCUCUCCUCAGAUCUAGGGCUCACUCUGAGGCGUGGGUGAUACUUGCUCCCCAACCCCAGCCUCUUCAGUGCAGGGAGGCAGGGCCUGAACUUCGGAGGGUCUUGGGGCAGGUUCCUGGGGCUUGCAGGGCGGCCUCCCCUUUCCCAGGGAAAGGAAUAGAGAAGCCGUGUCUGGGGAGGGAAGCCUCUACCUCCACCCUCACUGUGCCCAGAGCUGCAUCCCCAACCUGGCCUGGGGAGACUGGCACCAGGUGGAGCUGGUCCCCAAGGAGCCCCAACCCCCAGAACAUCUGCAGAGGUCAGCUCUCAGGGGGCCCCAGGGCCAGUCCUCUCUGCACCCCACCUUCCCUGCUCAAUGUGGCUUGUAGGUGGUUAUGCAAAGCAUAUGCAAAGCACAUGCAAAUGAGGCCCAGCCACAACCGGUCACUCUCUCCAGGUGAGACUACUGAAGCCCUCUGGUCAUCAGCAGGAAUGCAGGGGUGCCUAUGGCAGGCCGGACUCCAGGUCAGGCCUUGGGGCAGUGAGGAAGAAGGUGCAAGUCAGGAGCUGCCUUCGUGUUCCGGAAGAAUUCACGUGCUAAUUUGUAGGCGGCCUGGCCAGAUGCUUCAGAGACUCCGGCAGCAUCGAAGGUGUGAUUUUAGAUCAGUGCUCCCGAGACCCUUGUGUUAUUUAAGAAGGUCAGUGUGCUUAAAUGCAUAAGAAGUAAUCUGUGUGUUAAAUGUAUGAGUUAACUGAGCAUAGCCGAAGUGAAAGUGAAUGUGUUUUCAUAUUAAAAUUAGAUUUAUAAAGAGAAUGCUAAAACUUGGUGGAUUUUGGAAUGCAAGGUCUAAGAAAAGCUAGGUUUAAAUAUUGACAACUUUUACAACUUGAUAUAUUAACUCUUUUUUUUUUUUUGAGACUAGACCCUGUCCCCCAGGCUGGAGUGCAGUGGUGCAAUCAUGGCUCACUGCAGCCUCAACCUCCCAGGCUCAGGCAAUCCUCCUCCCUCAGCCUCUCAAAGUGCUUAGACUCCAGUUGCAUGCCACUAGGCCUGACUAAUUUUUUUAAAAAAAGUUUUAGUGACAUGACUUGGUGAGAGGUCACACUAAAUUGCCCAGGCUAAUCUCAAACUCCUGGGCUCAAGCAGGCCUCCCACCUCCGUCUCCCAAGUAGCUGAGACUACAGGCACGCACCACCACACCCAGCUAAUUUUCUUUUUUUUUUUUUUUUUUUUUUUGAGACGGAGUCUCGCUCUGUCGCCCAGCCCAGGCUGGAGUGCAGUGGCGCGAUCUCGGCUCACUGCAAGCUCCGCCUCCCGGGUUCACGCCAUUCUCCUGCCUCAGCCUCCCGAGUAGCCGGGACUACAGGCGCCCACAACCGCGCCCGGCUAGUUUUUUUUUUUGUAUUUUUUAGUAGAGACGGGGUUUCACCGUGGUCUCGAUCUCCUGACCUCGUGAUCCGCCCUCCCAAAGUGCUGGGAUUACAGGCUUGAGCCACCGCGCCCGGCCAGUUGGAGUCUUUUCUAACUUAAUGUAAUCAUGGGAGUGACAUCAUCAUCUUUGCCAUGUUCUAUUGGCUGGAAGAAACUCCCAGGCUUUGCCUUCACGCCCGGAG
Macaca mulatta (Rhesus monkey) is the source of this 2232-nucleotide long non-coding RNA. The record is from Ensembl. NCBI's taxonomy places the organism in Eukaryota, Metazoa, Chordata, Mammalia, Primates, Cercopithecidae.